UGGGAUGUAACUUGGUGGUAGAGUAUUUGCUUUCCAUGCACAGUUAUCUAGGUUCAAUCCUAGCCCCAG
Molecule: transfer RNA, 69 nt
Filed under: Rattus norvegicus (Norway rat)
Lineage: Eukaryota; Metazoa; Chordata; Mammalia; Rodentia; Muridae
Rfam family: tRNA
About the family: Transfer RNA (tRNA) molecules are approximately 80 nucleotides in length. Their secondary structure includes four short double-helical elements and three loops (D, anti-codon, and T loops). Further hydrogen bonds mediate the characteristic L-shaped molecular structure. tRNAs have two regions of fundamental functional importance: the anti-codon, which is responsible for specific mRNA codon recognition, and the 3' end, to which the tRNAs corresponding amino acid is attached (by aminoacyl-tRNA synthetases). tRNAs cope with the degeneracy of the genetic code in two manners: having more than one tRNA (with a specific anti-codon) for a particular amino acid; and 'wobble' base-pairing, i.e. permitting non-standard base-pairing at the 3rd anti-codon position.
Source: Rfam by way of RNAcentral